AUGACUUUCAUCACAAUCUUCAUCUGGACACUUUUGUUUUAUACGGAAGACUCCAGAGGACAGGUGACUGUGACUCAGACUCCUGAAGUGAAAUCUGCUCUUCCAGGAGACACAGUCACUAUUAACUGUAAAUCCAGUCCUGCAGUGUACCGGCGGGGUAAUGGAGAUGAAGAGCUGUUCUGGUACCAACAGAAACCUGGACAGGCUCCUAAACUCCUCAUAUAUUUCACAAAGAAGUUAGAGUCAGGAAUUCCAAAUCGUUUCAGUGGCAGUGGAUCUGGGACUGACUUCACUCUGACCAUCACAGGAGUCCAGACUGAAGAUGCAGGAGAUUAUUACUGUCAGAGGUUGGACACUUUUCCUGGACAAUAUUUUCUUUUUCCUAGUUACGCUAUACCUGUUCCAAGAACGUCUGUCUUACCUUCACCUCAAACACCCUUGAUGCUUCUCUUUCUAGUGUAA
Non-coding RNA from Chanos chanos (milkfish), 462 nucleotides. NCBI's taxonomy places the organism in Eukaryota, Metazoa, Chordata, Actinopteri, Gonorynchiformes, Chanidae. The record is from the annotation of a RefSeq genome assembly.